Molecule: RNA transcript, 2155 nt
Organism: Penaeus indicus
Lineage: Eukaryota; Metazoa; Arthropoda; Malacostraca; Decapoda; Penaeidae
Gene: TFAM
Gene name: transcription factor A, mitochondrial-like
Exons: 7
Source: RefSeq, a predicted model, not a curated record
CGCGGUCCGGGCACGAUGGCGUUGGCGAGGAUCUUUUCUUCACAACUUUCUUUGGUCUCUAAGGGCUUAUUUUGGAAAUGUAUCGACCAUCCUUGUGUUUUGGCAGUGGCACAGAAACAAACUGUAGCCCAGGAGCUUGGCCUGCCAGAGCCCCCAAAGCGACCCAUGACUCCAUACAUACGAUUUGUGAAUGCACAUCGCCAGGAAGUCAAGAGAAAAUUUCCUGAACUCACUUCACCUCAGUUGACGGCAAAAUUGGCAUCUCUCUGGAAUGAACUCGGUUUGCCAGAGAAGAGCAAGUGGUCUUUACUUUACACUAAAGACAAAGAAACUUAUGACAUAGAAUAUAAGGAGUACAUGAAGAAGCUCACACCACAGCAGAUUGAGAGCAUGAAAGACCUGAAGCGAAAAAGAUCUCAGGACAAGUUGAAACGCCAGAUGAGGAGGGACAAAAAGAAGGAAACCGAAGAACUGGGAAAACCAAAGCACCCUGGUAAUGCCUUCACCUUGUACCUCCUCUCCUUAGACAGAGGAGAUGCUCCUCUCAAGGAAUUCCUUGCUGGUGCUGCAAGCAGGUGGCGUCGUUUGCCGGAAGAGGAACAGGAGAUAUUCCGUGAGCGCGCGAAAAAACAGAGGGAACAAUAUGAACAAGAGCUCAGACAUUGGGAGGCCAAAAUGAUCAAGAGUGGAAGGGCAGAUUUAGUGCGUCGACACCAGCAGCUGGAAGAACUGAAGCACACUGCCACUCAUCGUCGGCACAUUCAAGAAUAGGGAUUCGCAUCAGGUGAUGCUAAGGGAGAGUCAGGGGGUCUGGACAGAUCUCCGAAGAAAAGGAAGAAACAAGACCAGAAGACGUUAGCUGAUAGUCAGAAUGUAGUUAGAGAAGAACGUGUAGACAAGAAAAGUACCAAGAUAAAGAAACGUCUGGGCAGCUAUGCUCUUGGAAGAACUGAAGAGGUGAAUGUACACCAGAGAAAAGUGAAAGUUACUGUAAAGAUUGAUCCAUCAGACAGAGAAACAAAAAGUGAUUGUCAAAAAUCAAUUCCUGAGUCCAUAAGUCUUCCCCCUAGCAUUGAGACUAUGGAAAAAGAUAAGUUAAUUACCUCAGGAAAAGCUGAUAAAUAUAAUGAUGAUCACUUAGACUCUGGGCUCUUCCCAGAAUCACCUGAAUGUCAGAGAAAUGUCCAGGUUAUGAAACCAGGAAUCUUUUUGAAGUCAUCAAAUAUGACUACAGAAUCUGUUAGAAGUCAGGAGUUGGUAGAACAUAACAGUUUUGAUUUAAGCCAUAAACAGUUGCCGGUGAAGAAGUGUAUUAAAGCUGUAAAUGUUGAAAUUGUUUCUGAUGGGAACCCUGAAAAACUUGCUCCAAGGGUACAAGAUAAGCUAGGCAGUCAUUUAGGAAUAAAAUCAGCCAUCAUGCAUGCAAAUAAAAAUCCAUUAAACCACUUUAAUACAAAAUAUUUACACAUAGAGAAUUUUUAUCAUCAAGACCAAUCACAUUCUGUGCUUAAUCCACAGUCAACAAAUAUUGCUACUCUGCCUGGUAAUGAACACUCAGGAAAUGUAAACAAAUGUACAAGCAGUUUUUCUUCAGUGUCACCUGCUCAAGAGGUAGCAUCAGAUAUUCUGGUUCUUGAAGGCAAGGAUUCAAGCAGUGAUCACAUCGAAAAAGGCUGGUGGUUGUGGAUCUUUGCUGAUGGCUGGGCAGAUAUCUGGACAUGGCUGGAAUACCUUCUUGAUGAACUCUUCCCUCCAGCUCAUGGUUUUCAGGAAGAAAUACCAGAUAGCACUAAGGAAAGGUGUUCUCAUGAUCUGAAAAGCAAAAGCUAAUCGGGUACACCCAUUUCUUAACUUCCUGCUACAGUCUUUCAGUCAAGUGGUGACUUUGCCCAGUUUGUUAAUAUUCCUUUUGUGCCAUAAAUCCGGAUAUAUAGUAGUAUCUCAUCUUUUGUAAAGGAGCAAUAGAAAUUGGAUAAAAAGCAUGAGGAAUGAAUUGCCUCAUUAUAGCAGGAUAAGAAGAAAAUGUAAUGUUCCACUGAAUAAGAAGUAGCCAGGUGUCUGGAAAUUGACGAAAGUUUGUUAUUUUGUUGCCUGCUAUGUCAUCUCAGAAUGAUGUCAAUGAGUGUACAUUUUGAAGUAAUAAAUAUGGAAAAUA